AUCCAGCUGUCAAGUCCUAAAUAGGACGAAAUGCACAUCCUGGAU
Schistosoma rodhaini is the source of this 45-nucleotide non-coding RNA. NCBI's taxonomy places the organism in Eukaryota, Metazoa, Platyhelminthes, Trematoda, Strigeidida, Schistosomatidae. The record is from Rfam.